GACGAACGCUGGCGGCGUGCUUAACACAUGCAAGUCGAACGGAAAGGCCCUGCUUUUGUGGGGUGCUCGAGUGGCGAACGGGUGAGUAACACGUGAGUAACCUGCCCUUGACUUUGGGAUAACUUCAGGAAACUGGGGCUAAUACGAUAGGAGCUCCUGCUGCAUGGUGGGGGUUGGAAAGUUUCGGCGGUUGGGGAUGGACUCGCGGCUUAUCAGCUUGUUGGUGGGGUAGUGGCUUACCAAGGCUUUGACGGGUAGCCGGCCUGAGAGGGUGACCGGCCACAUUGGGACUGAGAUACGGCCCAGACUCCUACGGGAGGCAGCAGUGGGGAAUAUUGCACAAUGGGCGGAAGCCUGAUGCAGCAACGCCGCGUGCGGGAUGACGGCCUUCGGGUUGUAAACCGCUUUCGCCUGUGACGAAGCGUGAGUGACGGUAAUGGGUAAAGAAGCACCGGCUAACUACGUG
This 466-nucleotide ribosomal RNA is filed under the name uncultured bacterium. RNAcentral's name for it is "partial 16S ribosomal RNA". It matches the Rfam family "Bacterial small subunit ribosomal RNA", at positions 28 to 507 of the family's 1533-position model. The record is from RNAcentral.